Molecule: ribosomal RNA, 693 nt
Filed under: uncultured organism
Description: bacterial SSU rRNA
Rfam family: Bacterial small subunit ribosomal RNA
Source: RNAcentral
GGAACUCUGAUGCAGCAACGCCGCGUGAACUAAGAAAGCUAUCGAGUCGUAAAGUACUGUUCUAGGGGACGAAGAAAUGACGGUACCCUAUGAGAAAGCCACGGCUAAUUACGUGCCAGCAGCCGCGCUCCUACUUCCGUCGCACGCGUUAUCCGGAAUCACUGGGCGUAACGCGCUCGCAGGCGGUUAAACACGCCAAUAGUGAAAUCCACCAGCCUAAACUGGUGUCAGCUAAAUGGAACUGUAUAACUUGAGUACAGGACCGGAAAGUCGAAUACCUAGUGUAGUAGUGAAAUGCGUCGACUAUUCCGAAAGAACAUCACUAGCGACGGCGCAUUCCUGGACAGUACCUGACGCUGAGGAACGUAUAGCGUGGGGAGCGUACAGGAUUAGAUACCUUGGUUGUCCACGCCGUAUACUGAUGGUAUUACUUGGUGUUGACUGUUAAAGGUCGGGUGCCGGAGCAAAUGUAUUAAGUUAUCCCGCCUGGGGAGUACGGUCGCAAGGCUGUUACUCCAAAGAAUUGGCGGGGACCCGCUAUAAGCAGCGGAGCAUGUGGUUUAAUUCGAAGCAACGCGAAGAACCUUACCAAAUCUUGACAUAUCGAAGCUAUCUGAGUAGGAUUAGAGUUCCAUGUGGACUUUGACUACAGGUGGUGCAUGGUUGUCGUCAGCUCGUGUCGUGAGAUGUUGG